AGCAGCCGCGGUAAUUCCAGCUCCAAUAGCGUAUAUUAAAGUUGCUGCAGUUAAAAAGCUCGUAGUUGAAUUUCGGGAUCGAUAUAUCGGUCGUGCCUCGGUACGUACUGGUAUUUUCGGUUUCUCCCUUCUGACGAACCUUGAUGUCAUUAAUUUGGUGUCUUGGGGAAUCAGGACUGUUACUUUGAAAAAAUUAGAGUGUUUAAAGCAGGCUCACGCUUGAAUACAUUAGCAUGGAAUAAUGAAAUAGGACGUUUGAUUCUAUUUUGUUAGUUUCUAGGAUCGACGUAAUGAUUAAUAGGGAUAGUUGGGGGCAUUAGUAUUCAAUUGUCAGAGGUGAAAUUCUUGGAUUUAUUGAAGACUAACUACUGCGAAAGCAUUUGCCAAGGAUGUUUUCAUUAAUCAAGAACGAAAGUUAGGGAUCGAAGACGAUCAGAUACCGUCGUAGUCUUAACCAUAAACUAUGACCGACUAGGGAUCGGAUGAUGUUAAUUUUUAAUGAUCAUUCGGCGCCUUACGG
RNAcentral lists this ribosomal RNA (520 nucleotides) under uncultured Glomus. RNAcentral describes it as "SSU rRNA". It matches the Rfam family "Eukaryotic small subunit ribosomal RNA", at positions 569 to 1093 of the family's 1831-position model. The record is from RNAcentral. Lineage: Eukaryota; Fungi; Glomeromycota; Glomeromycetes; Glomerales; Glomeraceae.